AGAAUAUUGAAAAUAGUCAUAGUAUAGUGUGUUAAAAAAGUGAUAAAAAAGUCAUAGUAUAGUACGUCAAACAAAGUCUGGAAGAACAUUCAAACUCCACAUAA
Molecule: long non-coding RNA, 104 nt
Organism: Etheostoma cragini (Arkansas darter)
Lineage: Eukaryota; Metazoa; Chordata; Actinopteri; Perciformes; Percidae
Exons: 2
Source: RefSeq, a predicted model, not a curated record